UUUAUGGUGGUUUGAAAAGGUACAGGGUCAAUAUAGUGCUUGCCCAAUUCAGUUUGCCAGAUUGGUUUGCUGGGUUUGUGUUGCCUUUUGAGACCAUAUGGUAGCCCAGGAAUGUGAAAUAACCCCAUCUUUUAGAGCCGUCACAUGGUUCCUGGGGGUCCUGAAUUGGAGAAGGGGGACUCUCUCGGCUCAGUCCAGAGAGUCCCCCCAAAGAAGAAGACCAAUCACCGGCGGCGGAACGCGGCGAUCAGUAAGUUCAUGGGAGAGUAG
Non-coding RNA from Pelobates cultripes (western spadefoot toad), 270 nucleotides. The record is from the annotation of a GenBank genome assembly. NCBI's taxonomy places the organism in Eukaryota, Metazoa, Chordata, Amphibia, Anura, Pelobatidae.